Molecule: unclassified non-coding RNA, 348 nt
Filed under: Hevea brasiliensis (rubber tree)
Lineage: Eukaryota; Viridiplantae; Streptophyta; Magnoliopsida; Malpighiales; Euphorbiaceae
Source: RNAcentral
UUGGUUUUCUUUUUGGCUUAUUUUGUGGCAAAUUUUUCUCAGGGCUUGAAAAUGUUGCGCAAUAUCCUUUUCCCAUUUUCUAUUUUCGUUUUGGAUUAUUCUUAUUGAAUUUGAUUUAACACUGUUUAACAUUAGUUGCUGGGGAAGAAAAGGAGAGGAAUGGAAAUUAUUAAUCUUGCUAAUCAGCUGGGAUAUUUUUUUGUGACUUGAAUAAGCUAGAAACCCACUUGAAUUUUCUUUUCUGACAAAUCAAUGAAGUUGAAAUUACCAAGUGAGAAGGAGAUUUAGAAUUUCAUUUAUUUGUAGUUGUCAAAUAAAAGAAGUUUUCUCUGUGUGUGUGUGUGUGUG